UAUAAUAAUAUGCACGCGCAUCAUGCGCAAAUAACUAAUAAUAACUAGCACAAAACUCUAUGCUACUACUACAUACAUAUAUGAACAACAGAUCGUAGACAUCCAUUGGCAGCAAGAAAGAAACCAAGGUACCUAGUUCAAAGAGAGCUUAGCUAGGAAUACAAUGGAGGGCGCUCUUGCGAGCGCAGCAACCGGAGCCCUGCAGUCCGUUGUGGCGAAGCUGCAAGCUCUGCUCCGCGAUGAGUACAGGCGCCUCACGGGAAUGCGCGGCAAGAUGGAGUGGCUCACUGGCGAGCUGGUUGCCAUGAAGGCCUUCCUCACCGACAUGUCCAGGGACGAGACUCCUCCUGAUGAACAACGCAAGCUGUGGAUGAAGGACGUGCGGGAGCUCUCCUACGACAUCGAAGACAGCCUCGACGACUUCUUCGUGCAGCAUGCCGCCAAGCCAGACGGCAUCAUGGAGAAGAUGGCGAGCCUGCUGGAGAGGACCAAGAGUCGCCACCGGAUAGGCAAGGAGUUCGACGCCAUCAAGAGGAAAGUCAUGGAGGCGGACGCAAGGCGUAAGAGUUACAGUACCGACCGUCCGGUGGCCAAAGCCAGAUCAUCAUCCAUCGAUCCAAGAGCGCUAGCUAUAUUUGAGGAUGCGAGGAAGCCUGUUGGCAUCGACGGAGCAAAGGACGAGGUCACCAGACUGCUGCUGGGACGACUGGAACAAGAAGGCCACCAGGAGCAGCGGCAACGCCAGAUUGUCUAUAUUGUUGGAUCUGGAGGGCUGGGGAAAACGACCCUGGCAUACCAGGUAUAUCAACAACUUAAGAAUCGAUUCGAACAUCGGUCCUUCUUAUCCGUGUCCAGGAAUCCGGACAUCAAUGUCGUUUUCAAAACAAUCCUCCAUGAAGUGGUGACCGAAGAAGAUAGGCCGUCCGUGUUCAAGGGAGACUAUGUCAGCACUGUCGCUGCCUCGCUGGGACCCAGCAACUUAUCACAAUGAUCAGGGAAUACCUUAAACAAAAAAACAAAAGAUAUUUUAUUGUGCUGGAUGAUAUAUGGGACACGAAAACAUGGGAAAUCAUCAAGACUGCCUUCCCACUGACUCACUGUGGCAGCAUAAUCAUCGUCACCACUCGCAUAAACGAGGUUGCUAGGGAAUGCUGUAGAUACAGUGAUAAUGGGCAUAUAUACAAUAUGAGGCCUCUUAAUAUGGAGCACUCAGCACAGCUAUUCUAUGGAAGAUUAUUCAGCCCUGAAGAGAAAUGCCCUGGGCACCUCCAAGAGAUCUCUGGCCAAAUCCUGGAGAAAUGUGCCGGCUUACCAUUAGCGAUCAUCGCUAUGUCUGGCCUGCUGUCGAGCAAGGGGAGAACAAGGAAGGAGUGGGAUAUAGUGAAGGACUCGAUGGGCCGUGCGCUCGAAAGGAAUUCUGAUGUCCAACGAAUGCUAGAGAUAAUUUCACUCAGUUAUUUGGAUCUUCCUCCCGAGCUUAGAACUUGCCUAUUGUACCUCAGCAUAUUUCCAGAAGAUUACACGAUUGACAAGGACGGUUUGAUAAAGAGGUGGAUUGGUGAGGGGUUCAUCCAUGAGCAGAGCCAACCUGGAGGCUGGAGCAUACCGCUCAGGCGAGACGUGUUUUAACGAUCUCAUCAACAGGAGCUUGCUCCAGCCAGGAGAGAUGGACGAGUUUGGUGUGGUGAAAAGCUGUCGAAUUCAUGACACAGUUCUUGAUUUCAUUGUAUCCAAGGCCAUCGAGGAGAACUUUGUCACUUUAAUAGGAGUACCUGGUGUAAAUCCUACUGCUGUUGGAGACAAAGACAAGGUCCGUCGGUUGUCUAUGCAGAAUGAAGGCAAGAUCCCACCGGAGCUGGUCUUAUCUAGCGUCCGGUCGCUUAAUGUUUUCGGUGCUAGAGUGGAAAUCCCGUCUCUGUCGAGGUUCAGACGCCUGCGUGUUUUAGCCUUUGAAGGCUGUGGGCAGCUACAGGAUGACCAUCUCAAAGAUGUGGGUGAUCUGUUGCACCUGAGGUACUUGAGGCUCAACGAAGCAAGUGGUGUCACAGAGCUCCCAGAAAAAACAGCUGGGCUAAAGCACCUGGGGGCACUCGACGUACAUGGGCACAACACAGUAAUGGAAAUCCCAGCAUCCAUUUGUCAGGCCGGGCGAUUGGAAUGCCUGGUUACUCUAGCUGUUGAUCGUGAAACUAUAAUGCCUGAUGAGAUUGCAGACAUGAAAGCACUUCAGGUUCUGGAAGGCGUUAAUGUCUACAUCCAGUCGGUUGACUUCAUUGAGGGGCUCGGCGAGCUAACGAACCUGAGGAAGCUGGGGAUAAGAUUUAUCAACAGUGAUGCUGAUGAAGAAUGGGAUGAGAAAUAUGAAGAGAUCGUCUCCUCGGUCCGUAAGCUUGCCGACUCAAACCUUGAUUCUCUUCGUGUUCAUACUUUGAACGAGCCGCCAGAACUACUGAACAAGCUAAAUGACCAUGGUACAGUUGACCUUGGAGAACUUGUCGUCACGGGAGAUAUUGUCUCGGAUCUUGCAGACUGGUGGGGUGUACUUGUGAACCUUCACAAGCUACUCUUUUAUACGUACGGACUCAGUGAGAAAGAUGUGGAGACCUUAGGAAGCAUAACUGGUCUGGAAUACCUCUGCAUCCAUCUCUUCGAUGCACCCGACGACCCUCAUGAGCUGAAAGCUCCCCUAGAGAGAGCAAUGGAUGCCCACCCAAACCGUCCCAGAUUGGUAUGGGUCGAUGAGGAUUAGACCUCAACUCAGGCACCAUUUCUUCCUUGCAAACACUCAUUCUUUCUUCUGUCUGCUCACCAGAUACCUUUCUGUUGUUGGUUAAUUCAGUCGGUUUGUGUUUGAUUCUUAGCCAAUAAUAAAGUUUGAACCCAGUUGGGUGCGUCCAUGUACUCGCCAGACUCGUGCUUAGUUCACGAUGCGGUGUUCCCAUUGUUUCUGUUUUCUAUUGGGUCGUACAAGAUGUCAUGCAUGCUUCUUUCUCAGUCGUGGGAUGGCGCACAGGUGAUCAUGCCGUUGCCAUUAUGUACGUGUGUGGUCCGUGCUCAUCAGUUCGAGCUUGUGACGCUGUGAGUGGACAACUAAGAGCCGAGAAACAAAAAAGCCUUGAUUACAAGGAGUCGCUUAGUGGAGAAACGAAGAGUUUUGAA
This is an RNA transcript of Zea mays, 3159 nucleotides long. It is a transcript of the gene named disease resistance protein PIK6-NP, with no coding region annotated. Lineage: Eukaryota; Viridiplantae; Streptophyta; Magnoliopsida; Poales; Poaceae. The transcript has 2 exons. The record is from RefSeq and is a predicted model, not a curated record.